Molecule: ribosomal RNA, 1346 nt
Filed under: uncultured bacterium
Lineage: Bacteria
Description: partial 16S ribosomal RNA
Rfam family: Bacterial small subunit ribosomal RNA
Source: RNAcentral
GACGAACGCUGGCGGCGUGCUUAACACAUGCAAGUCGAACGGAAAGGCCCUGCUUUUGUGGGGUGCUCGAGUGGCGAACGGGUGAGUAACACGUGAGUAACCUGCCCUUGACUUUGGGAUAACUUCAGGAAACUGGGGCUAAUACCGGAUAGGAGCUCCUGCUGCAUGGUGGGGGUUGGAAAGUUUCGGCGGUUGGGGAUGGGCUCGCGGCUUAUCAGCUUGUUGGUGGGGUAGUGGCUUACCAAGGCUUUGACGGGUAGCCGGCCUGAGAGGGUGACCGGCCACAUUGGGACUGAGAUACGGCCCAGACUCCUACGGGAGGCAGCAGUGGGGAAUAUUGCACAAUGGGCGGAAGCCUGAUGCAGCAACGCCGCGUGCGGGAUGACGGCCUUCGGGUUGUAAACCGCUUUCGCCUGUGACGAAGCGUGAGUGACGGUAAUGGGUAAAGAAGCACCGGCUAACUACGUGCCAGCAGCCGCGGUGAUACGUAGGGUGCGAGCGUUGUCCGGAUUUAUUGGGCGUAAAGGGCUCGUAGGUGGUUGAUCGCGUCGGAAGUGUAAUCUUGGGGCUUAACCCUGAGCGUGCUUUCGAUACGGGUUGACUUGAGGAAGGUAGGGGAGAAUGGAAUUCCUGGUGGAGCGGUGGAAUGCGCAGAUAUCAGGAGGAACACCAGUGGCGAAGGCGGUUCUCUGGGCCUUUCCUGACGCUGAGGAGCGAAAGCGUGGGGAGCGAACAGGCUUAGAUACCCUGGUAGUCCACGCUGUAAACGGUGGGUACUAGGUGUGGGGUCCAUUCCACGGGUUCCGUGCCGUAGCUAACGCUUUAAGUACCCCGCCUGGGGAGUACGGCCGCAAGGCUAAAACUCAAAGGAAUUGACGGGGCCCCGCACAAGCGGCGGAGCAUGCGGAUUAAUUCGAUGCAACGCGUAGAACCUUACCUGGGUUUGACAUGGAUCGGGAGUGCUCAGAGAUGGGUGUGCCUCUUUUGGGGUCGGUUCACAGGUGGUGCAUGGCUGUCGUCAGCUCGUGUCGUGAGAUGUUGGGUUAAGUCCCGCAACGAGCGCAACCCUUGUUCACUGUUGCCAGCACGUUAUGGUGGGGACUCAGUGGAGACCGCCGGGGUCAACUCGGAGGAAGGUGGGGAUGACGUCAAGUCAUCAUGCCCCUUAUGUCCAGGGCUUCACGCAUGCUACAAUGGCUGGUACAGAGAGUGGCGAGCCUGUGAGGGUGAGCGAAUCUCGGAAAGCCGGUCUCAGUUCGGAUUGGGGUCUGCAACUCGACCUCAUGAAGUCGGAGUCGCUAAUAAUCGCAGAUCAGCAACGCUGCGGUGAAUACGUUCCCGGGGCU